GCUGAGCUGAGUUACUCCAGCUUGUGACCCAAGUGGGAGCAUCAAUGUGAUGGAAUAACACUGAGACUUGCUGGGUUGGGCCUGUGUCUGCAAAAUGUUUGCCUGUCCGUUCCAAGUUGAGAGUUAAGUAUGGGGACGUUAGUGAAGGCCUAGGUCUCUUGACUCUUAGAGUGGAGGGCAUAGCGUGAGGCUGGUUUCACAGAUUCAAGAGAUGCAGCAUUUUGUCAACCCUAAACCAAUAUCAGAGAAUCCCAGUUCAGUAACUAUCUGGUUAAGCAAAGUUUGCUAAAUCCA
This 294-nucleotide non-coding RNA is filed under the name Phaseolus vulgaris (common bean). Lineage: Eukaryota; Viridiplantae; Streptophyta; Magnoliopsida; Fabales; Fabaceae. The record is from RNAcentral.